Molecule: long non-coding RNA, 419 nt
Filed under: Mytilus galloprovincialis (Mediterranean mussel)
Lineage: Eukaryota; Metazoa; Mollusca; Bivalvia; Mytilida; Mytilidae
Source: RNAcentral
GUCUUUUGUUCGAGCCUGUAUAUUGACCUCUAGAUAUCUUUCAAUUACAUCCAGUUUGGUGUGUGUUGAUGUUUGAUAGUUGAAAAUAUAAGGAAAUAGUAACCAAAUAAGGAAAUGAAAAUUUAAUAAGGAAAAAGAAAUCAAAUAAGGAAACAGAAACCGAAUAAGGAAAAAGAAACCGAAUAAGGAAAUAGAAACCGAAUAAGGAAAUAAAAACCGAAUAAGGAAAUAGAAACCGAAUAAGGAAACAGAAAUCGAAUAAGGAAAUGGAAAGCGAAUAAGGAAAUGAAAAUCGAAUAAGGAAAUAGAAACCGAAUAAGGAAAUAAAAACCGAAAAAGGAAAUGAACAUUGAAAAAGGAAAAAGAAACCAAAUAAGGAAAUGAAAAUCGAAUAAGGAAAUGGAAAUCGAAUAAGGAAA